This 253-nucleotide ribosomal RNA is filed under the name uncultured bacterium. RNAcentral describes it as "partial 16S ribosomal RNA". It matches the Rfam family "Bacterial small subunit ribosomal RNA", at positions 524 to 776 of the family's 1533-position model. The record is from RNAcentral.
UACGGGGGGAGCAAGCGUUGUUCGGAUUCACUGGGCUUAAAGGGCGCGUAGGCGGGCCGGCAAGUCCGGGGUGAAAUCCCACGGCUCAACCGUGGAAUAGCCUUGGAUACUGCCGGUCUCGAGGGAGGUAGGGGCGUGUGGAACUUCCGGUGGAGCGGUGAAAUGCGUAGAUAUUCGGAAGAACACCAGUGGCGAAGGCGGCAUCCUGGACCGGCAUUGACGCUGAGGAGCGAAAGCUAGGGGAGCAAACAGG